GCUGGCGGCGUGCUUAACACAUGCAAGUCGAACGAAAAGAGGGAAAGAGCUUGCUCUUUCCGGAAUUGAGUGGCAAACGGGUGAGUAACACGUAAACAACCUGCCUUCAGGAUGGGGACAACAGACGGAAACGACUGCUAAUACCGAAUAAGUUCCAAGAGCCGCAUGGCCCAUGGAAGAAAAGGUGGCCUCUACCUGUAAGCUAUCGCCUGAAGAGGGGUUUGCGUCUGAUUAGCUGGUUGGAGGGGUAACGGCCCACCAAGGCGACGAUCAGUAGCCGGUCUGAGAGGAUGAACGGCCACACUGGAACUGAGACACGGUCCAGACUCCUACGGGAGGCAGCAGUGGGGAAUCUUCCGCAAUGGGCGAAAGCCUGACGGAGCAACGCCGCGUGAGUGAUGACGGCCUUCGGGUUGUAAAACUCUGUGAUCCGGGACGAAAAGGCAGAGUGCGAAGAACAAACUGCAUUGACGGUACCGGAAAAGCAAGCCACGGCUAACUACGUGCCAGCAGCCGCGGUAAUACGUAGGUGGCAAGCGUUGUCCGGAAUUAUUGGGCGUAAAGCGCGCGCAGGCGGCUUCCCAAGUCCCUCUUAAAAGUGCGGGGCUUAACCCCGUGAUGGGAAGGAAACUGGGAAGCUGGAGUAUCGGAGAGGAAAGUGGAAUUCCUAGUGUAGCGGUGAAAUGCGUAGAGAUUAGGAAGAACACCGGUGGCG
This 715-nucleotide ribosomal RNA is filed under the name uncultured Peptococcaceae bacterium. Its description in RNAcentral is "bacterial SSU rRNA". It matches the Rfam family "Bacterial small subunit ribosomal RNA", at positions 35 to 717 of the family's 1533-position model. Lineage: Bacteria; Bacillati; Bacillota; Clostridia; Eubacteriales; Peptococcaceae. The record is from RNAcentral.